Molecule: ribosomal RNA, 497 nt
Filed under: uncultured bacterium
Lineage: Bacteria
Description: partial 16S ribosomal RNA
Rfam family: Bacterial small subunit ribosomal RNA
Source: RNAcentral
GAUGAACGCUGGCGGCGUGCCUAAUACAUGCAAGUCGAGCGAACAGACGAGGAGCUUGCUCCUCUGACGUUAGCGGCGGACGGGUGAGUAACACGUGGAUAACCUACCUAUAAGACUGGGAUAACUUCGGGAAACCGGAGCUAAUACCGGAUAAUAUAUUGAACCGCAUGGUUCAAUAGUGAAAGACGGUUUUGCUGUCACUUAUAGAUGGAUCCGCGCCGCAUUAGCUAGUUGUUAAGGUAACGGCUUACCAAGGCAACGAUGCGUAGCCGACCUGAGAGGGUGAUCGGCCACACUGGAACUGAGGCACGGUCCAGACUCCUACGGGAGGCAGCAGUAGGGAAUCUUCCGCAAUGGGCGAAAGCUUGACGGAGCAACGCCGCGUGAGUGAUGAAGGUCUUCGGAUCGUAAAACUCUGUUAUUAGGGAAGAACAAAUGUGUAAGUAACUAUGCACGUCUUGACGGUACCUAAUCAGAAAGCCACGGCUAACUACGUG